Cygnus olor (mute swan) is the source of this 865-nucleotide long non-coding RNA. RefSeq lists it as uncharacterized. Lineage: Eukaryota; Metazoa; Chordata; Aves; Anseriformes; Anatidae. The transcript has 4 exons. The record is from RefSeq and is a predicted model, not a curated record.
GAGGUAGAGAGAAAGCAGAGCCCUGGAGAGAUGUUAGCUUUCCUGAGGCUACGGCUGCAGCAGGGCACACUCUCAUUUGGCACACACACUCCAGCAUACAGAUAUCCACCCACCAGCACAGGCAGAAGAAGGUUCAGGUUGUCUUUUAUUCCAGUCGGACAAGGAUGAAUGCUUUGUGAACACCUAACUUUGUCCUGCCUCUACUUCUGGUUAAGACAACCACCUCUGCCUCUCUCCCAAUGGAAGAGUAACAUAAUCUGCUGCAACCAACAUUCAACCCAUCAACCAAGCUCCUUUCAGCAUCUAUGGGCUUACUGUGGGACCUCUGACAAGAGCAGGUAAAGAAACUUCAGAGAGAAGGAAAGUGUGAGCAGCCCAUUCCAGUCUCCUAAAUACUGAUUUUUAAGGCCCUUUCACAUCUAACUGCAGAGUGAGUGGGAGUGAGUUAUAAUUGCAUGCACAGGAAGUAGUUGAAGGAACUUCAGCAGAAGAGGCAGCACCUUUUGUCCAACCUGAGAGCACAAACAAACAUAAUAUGAUAAUUUGGGAGACCUGAUUAAGGACUGACUAUACUUCUCCUUGUCCCUAUCACAUUCUGCAAGAGUUCUUCUAUCACUUCAUCCCUCAUUUAGAACGAUCUACCUGAUUUGUGCAAGUCCACCACAGUGUGACUAUGCCUACUCUGAAGUCACACUGAGAACACAGCUGAAUUGCAUCAGGUCAUCAUGGUGCCUGUUGUCCAAGACAAAGCAUUAAAUUGAGAUUCUAAUCAAGGGUACAGUUUGCAUGUUUCUUGUGUCACUGCAGCAACCAAUUCAGCUGGGAUUUCAUAUGCCCUGGGAAAUAAACUCAUUUUGACCCAAAU